AGAGCUCAAAUUGAAAAUCGGCUACCCAUGCGGGUUGUCGAAUUGUAGCCUAGAGACGUAUUGUCAGCGUGUGACCCAGGUAUAAAUCUUUUGAAACAAGGUAUCAUAGAGGGUGAGAAUCCCGUCUUUGACCUGGAGUUCGCCGCGUACGACGUGCGUUCGUAGAGUCGAGUUGUUUGGGAUUGCAGCUCUAAAUGGGUGGUAAAUUUCAUCUAAAGCUAAAUAUUGACGAGAGACCGAUAGCGAA
This 247-nucleotide ribosomal RNA is filed under the name Cercomonadida sp. RNAcentral describes it as "partial large subunit ribosomal RNA". It matches the Rfam family "Eukaryotic large subunit ribosomal RNA", at positions 104 to 344 of the family's 3401-position model. The record is from RNAcentral. Lineage: Eukaryota; Cercozoa; Cercomonadida.